Molecule: long non-coding RNA, 420 nt
Organism: Aedes aegypti (yellow fever mosquito)
Lineage: Eukaryota; Metazoa; Arthropoda; Insecta; Diptera; Culicidae
Exons: 3
Source: RefSeq, a predicted model, not a curated record
GCCGAAGUUUUGACUGCCGAACUUCUAAUUGUCACUCGAAUUGUCAAUAUAAUCAUCGGUCUGACCUUCCAGCUGGCUUCUGGAUGUGAUCGGAACUAAAACCACGACAAUAACGGCACAGCAAGUGGGGCGAUAGAUUGCUGCUCGGUCGAAACGGAAGCGGUGACGAAACGCAUGACGGCAAGGCGACCAGUAUGCUCUAAAAUCAAGUUUGCCUUGGACGCAAGUCUGGACAGAAUACCACAGGUCCUAAUGAAACCGAGUACGACUAGUGUAGUGUCGACUCUUGGAGAAUACGUCGUUAUUAAUCCCUGAAGUAAAUCGAAGCAUGAGAUGCAUGGCAAAAUACAUUCCUAGAAAGAUUCGCGAAUUAGGCGAAACUGACAAAAUGUACACAAUUUAAAAAACUAUAGCGGUGAA